Molecule: antisense RNA, 69 nt
Filed under: Streptomyces sp. 150FB
Lineage: Bacteria; Bacillati; Actinomycetota; Actinomycetes; Kitasatosporales; Streptomycetaceae
Description: ASpks TB sRNA
Rfam family: ASpks TB sRNA
Source: Rfam by way of RNAcentral
CUUCAACGACCCCAGCCACAGCGGCUUUUCACGAUUCUGCCCGUACGUGGCCAGGACUGCCUGGGCUUC